RNAcentral lists this long non-coding RNA (302 nucleotides) under Olea europaea subsp. europaea. The record is from RNAcentral. Lineage: Eukaryota; Viridiplantae; Streptophyta; Magnoliopsida; Lamiales; Oleaceae.
CUUGGAUAGUAUGAUUCCAAUAGCACGAUUUCGGCAUAAAUAGCACGAGCAAAUUCAAAACAGAAGAUUUAAAUGUUCAGAAGCAACGUAAUUCCAAAACAUUGGCCCCUCACACUCCAUUACUUACACAGCAAUUUAUAAUUACAUCCUAGUAAAAAAAAAAUAGACAAUUAUCCUUCUGGGCUGUGGUCUCCUGGCAUCAUCUUCGAUUGGAGAAAGGUAAGCUGCCAAAAUUAACAUAAGCAUACAGUCAAAAAGAUCUGAGACUAUAGCCUACUAAGACAAUAUUUUUUUUUGUGUAA